RNAcentral lists this ribosomal RNA (366 nucleotides) under uncultured eukaryote. RNAcentral describes it as "partial 18S ribosomal RNA". It matches the Rfam family "Eukaryotic small subunit ribosomal RNA", at positions 592 to 976 of the family's 1831-position model. The record is from RNAcentral.
CAAUAGCGUAUAUUAACGUUGUUGCAGUUAAAAAGCUCGUAGUUGGAUUUCUGGAGGGAGCGUCGGCCCGUAUUUACGAGUGCGUGACGUCUCUGUCCAUCCUUGCGGGAAGGCACGGCAUUGAGUUGUUGUGUCGGAUCGCAUCAUUUACUGUGAAAAAAUUAGAGUGUUCAAAGCAGGCUUUCGCUUGAAUACAUUAGCAUGGAAUAAUAAGAUAGGACUUUGGUGCUAUUUUGUUGGUUGAGCCUAAAGUAAUGAUUAAUAGGGAUAGUUGGGGGCACCUGUAUUGCGUUGUCAGAGGUGAAAUUCUUGGAUUUACGCAAGACAAACAGCUGCGAAAGCGUCUGCCAAGGAUGUUUUCAUUAA